RNAcentral lists this ribosomal RNA (473 nucleotides) under uncultured bacterium. Its description in RNAcentral is "SSU rRNA". It matches the Rfam family "Bacterial small subunit ribosomal RNA", at positions 26 to 518 of the family's 1533-position model. The record is from RNAcentral.
AGGACGAACGCUGGCGGCGUGCUUAACACAUGCAAGUCGAGCGGAAAGGCCCUUCGGGGUACUCGAGCGGCGAACGGGUGAGUAACACGUGAGUAAUCUGCCCCUAGCUCUGGGAUAGCUCCGGGAAACCGGGAUUAAUACCGGAUACGACCACUUUAGACAUCUGUUGUGGUGGAAAGAAUUUUGGCUAGGGAUGAGCUCGCGGCCUAUCAGCUUGUUGGUGGGGUAAUGGCCUACCAAGGCGACGACGGGUAGCCGGCCUGAGAGGGCGACCGGCCACACUGGGACUGAGACACGGCCCAGACUCCUACGGGAGGCAGCAGUGGGGAAUAUUGCGCAAUGGGCGAAAGCCUGACGCAGCGACGCCGCGUGGGGGAUGAAGGCCUUCGGGUUGUAAACCCUUUCAGCAGGGACGAAGCGAAAGUGACGGUACCUGCAGAAGAAGCGCCGGCUAACUACGCGCCAGCAGCCGC